UCCGAUCUGCCAAAGAAAAGAAAUGGAGGAAAUAGAUAAGAAGAAGGUAUCAUCAUCAGGAUCCUUUUGGAAUUGGGCAAUCACAUCAGUAAUAUUGAGAUUAGUAAUCAUUUACUUCCCUCAGAAUCUCAAUUUAUCCUCUCGCCCUGAAGUCUCCACUCCUCUCACUAGCCUUCGCAGCCGUGCAUUCCAUCUAUUUGCGUCUUUCUGUGUAUAAAUUCGUGCAAGUAAUUCAAUUGAACUAAUCUGUAUUUUCCGGUUAAUUUUGUAGUGGCCGAGGGUUACUGGUUAAAGCAAUCAUCAAUGUCGCCUUAUGCUGGUUCGUUCAUUCAUACUUCUGUGUAUAUGCAUAUCUUUAUAUAAAAAAAAUGUAAAAUUUACAAAAAAAAAAAUAGUGUUGCAUACAUGUUCUAUGUACCAUGGAUCUCCAAUUUUAUUGUCAAUCCUUGGUCCACUUGCUGUGAAUAGGUAAAAAAUUAUGAAUAUAUAUAUAUAUAUAUAUAUAUAUAUAUAUAUAUAUAUAUAUUUUUUUUUAAUUUAGUAAAGAUUUGAUCUUUGAUGAAAGAUCACAUAUUUAAUGAAUUUACAGUUCAUUUCGAGUUAUAUUUAUGAACUAUUGAUGGGUUUGCAGAUUUGGAGGGCAACCCAAUCAUAUUUUAUGCAGGUAACAUUUCAUCUUAUUAAUUACGUGCCACAUUUCUGACUUAUUUGAAAGGACACUCUUUUAAAAGCAAACAUAGGUAAAUAAAUAACUUUGAAUUUAACAUGAUCAAUGGUCAAGAUUUCUGACUUACUUGUAUAUAGUUCUAUACGGUUGGUUGAUUUGAAAGUGGACUGUCAUUUUAGAAUAAAGGCAUUAUUAUCUUUUUAUUAUUCUUCACAUAGUUGGUUUAGUGAUUGCUUUGGCAAACUAUAUUAUUUGUAUCUGUCUAUCUGAUUCUAGACAUUAACACACUUGCACAAACAUAUACUAUGAUUAAUUGUAGGAAUAUGGGUUUAAAAUGCCUUAAAUUGAGAAUAUAGAGGGAUGGUACUAUUUGUUUCUUGCUGUAGCUGCACGUGUUUGCUAUACACUGAUGCUAAAUUAGUCUAUAGUGAAGUCUCUCUAGGUAGUCAAACUUACAGAGAUUAUGGGUGGGGUUAACCGUUAAGGGGAAGGCUGUCACCCCAUGUCUAGCCCAGCCGUUUGAUUAAUACUCCCUUCAUUCCAAAAUUAAGAUAUACGUUUUCCCUUUUUAUCCGUUUCAAAAAAAAGUAGUUAUAUUUCUACGUUAGGACAACAAAAUGACAUAAUAUUCAUAUUCCUAAUUUGUCAUACUUUCCUACAGUCAUGUAUAACAUCACACCACCACACAACUAAAUUAUUUGUUUAUUCUAUGAGUACAUUUGGCGGAAAAAAUCCGGUAAUAAUUUGUUGCUGAACAGCACGACAAUGCAGCCGCACCAUGGGCAAGAACAAUUGGAGCACGGCAGCGCUGGGAUGUAGAGCCAGAAUCCAACUUCAUUUAUAAUAACUUAAAAUAUUUUUAAACUAUUUAUAUCCUUUUUAAAUGAUUUUUAAAUCAAUAAAAUCAUUUUUAAUCUAUUUAUUCUGCCAAAGGGCAUUAAUCUCUGCAAAGUUCUGUGCAACAGGCUUCUCCCCUUGACCCAACUCACGGAUUUGCUUACGAAUGUCUUAUGCUUGGACAUAUCACUAGAAACGGAGAAAGUUUGGGAAAUGGUCUUCCAAAGUUCAUAGGCAGUGCCUAGAAACAUGUAACUACUUCGCAUAUUUGGUUCCAUAUAAUUAAAAAUUCAUGUUUUGACUAUGGAAUUUUCAGACUUCCAUUCUUCUCGAGUCAUCCCCGGUUGUGCAGGUAUAGUAGUUGUCCCAUUGAUGAAAUGUUGCAUACGAUUGGCCUCAAUUGACAU
RNAcentral lists this long non-coding RNA (1911 nucleotides) under Panax ginseng (ginseng). Its description in RNAcentral is "long non-coding RNA (PGIN_LNC013014)". Lineage: Eukaryota; Viridiplantae; Streptophyta; Magnoliopsida; Apiales; Araliaceae. The record is from RNAcentral.